Molecule: ribosomal RNA, 373 nt
Filed under: uncultured organism
Description: partial 16S ribosomal RNA
Rfam family: Bacterial small subunit ribosomal RNA
Source: RNAcentral
GUAGGUGGCGAGCGUUGUCCGGAAUUAUUGGGCGUAAAGCGCGCGCAGGCGGUCCUUUAAGUCUGAUGUGAAAGCCCACGGCUCAACCGUGGAGGGUCAUUGGAAACUGGGGGACUUGAGUACAGAAGAGGAAAGCGGAAUUCCACGUGUAGCGGUGAAAUGCGUAGAGAUGUGGAGGAACACCAGUGGCGAAGGCGGCUUUCUGGUCUGUAACUGACGCUGAGGCGCGAAAGCGUGGGGAGCAAACAGGGAUUAGAUACCCUGGUAGUCCACGCCGUAAACGAUGAGUGCUAAGUGUUAGGGGGUUUCCCGCCCCUUAGUGCUGCAGCUAACGCAUUAAGCACUCCGCCUGGGGAGUACGGCCGCAAGGCUG